Molecule: unclassified non-coding RNA, 328 nt
Filed under: soil metagenome
Description: partial contains 5.8S ribosomal RNA, internal transcribed spacer 2, and large subunit ribosomal RNA
Rfam family: 5.8S ribosomal RNA (bases 1-120)
Source: RNAcentral
GAUGAAGAACGCAGCGAAAUGCGAUACGUAAUGUGAAUUGCAGAAUUCAGUGAAUCAUCGAGUCUUUGAACGCACAUUGCGCCCCCUGGUAUUCCGGGGGGCAUGCCUGUUCGAGCGUCAUUUCAACCCUCAAGCUCUGCUUGGUAUUGAGUCCAUGUCAGCAAUGGCAGGCUCCAAAAUCAGUGGCGGCGCCGCUGGGUCCUGAACGUAGUAAUAUCUCUCGUUACAGGUGCUCGGCGUGCUUCUGCCAAAACCCCAAUUUUUCUAUGGUUGACCUCGGAUCAGGUAGGGAUACCCGCUGAACUUAAGCAUAUCAAUAAGCGGAGGA